This 353-nucleotide long non-coding RNA is filed under the name Helianthus annuus (common sunflower). Its description in RNAcentral is "sRNA HanXRQr2_Chr16g0723631". Lineage: Eukaryota; Viridiplantae; Streptophyta; Magnoliopsida; Asterales; Asteraceae. The record is from RNAcentral.
CACCUCCAAAACCUAAAAAUCUACAAAACCCUCAAAUUGAAGGCCAAAAUUCAGUUGAAAUCGAAAUCUAAACAUAGAAUCGUGAUCUCCUCGUCAAGAAGGUCAUAAGGCAAGGAAUCCGGGACGUCAAGUGGACACGCCGGAGGUGAUACCCGCGGAAAAGGUGUGCUUUGAAGUGUAAAGGAUGCGUUUGAUGUGUACAAAUAAAUCUCUCUCGGAUGAUGAUCAAGCACCUUGUCAAGAACCGAACACGCAAAUUGAAGCUUCCGCAUGAAUAUAAUUUUGUCUAAACUUUAAACAUGUCAUAAAUACUUUUGGUUGAUGGUGCUUUGAAUCCUUUAGCUAGUUGUUAG